CAGAGACCUAUAGCUACCAGGGCUGGAUGUAUUAUUGUUAAAUUUAGUUCACUUCAAUUCAGUCUAUCCCUAACCCUAACUUCACUGCAUGGGAAAUUAAACCAGUUAUGCGUUUGUUGAAGUAGAUGGCCUAUUGCAGGUCAUUCGCCUGGUGGAGUUGUCUGUAGCUGACAGGGUUAGGUGUAGUCUGGUAUAGCUGUCUGUAGCUGAUAGGGUUAGGUGUAUCUGGUGGUAGUUGUCUGUAGCUGAUAGGGUCAAGUAUAGUCUGGUGGAGUUGUCUGUAGCUGAUAGGGUUAGGUGUAGUCUGGUAUAGCUGUCUGUAGCUGAUAGGGUUAGGUGUAGUCUGGUAUAGUUGUCGUCUAUCAGUUGAUGAUUUACGUUGGGUCUGGUAUUUGUAGUUCAUCAGUAGAAGCUGCAGGGUGGGUGUGGUAGUUGUAGUCCAUCAGUAGAAGAUGCUGGGUGGGUGUGGUAGUUGUAGUCCAUCAGAAGAAGAUGCAGGGUGGGUGUGGUAGUUGUAGUCCAUCAGUAGAAGAUGCAGGGUGGGUGUGGGUCUGAUGAGAAACCUGUAGUACUCCUUGAGUAUCCCCAACAGUACACAUUUUAUUGUAUCCCUGGACAAGCACACCUGAUUCAGUACUGGAGGAGAAGUUGGGAAACACCGCUGUAGGACACAGAAACAUAAAGACUUAGCUAGGUUAUCUUUUUCAUAUUUUAAUGUCACCCUUAUUUAACCAUACAGUGUUCACAAAGUUACGCAUUAAAAACAACACAUUUCCAGGGCCAAACAGAAAACCUUUCUACUCAUAACCCAAAUAAGUACUCAUAACCCAAAUGAGUAUUCAUAACCAAAACGUAUGCCGCCAAACAUACCCUCAUAAAACUAACUAUCCUACCGAUCCUCAACUUUAGCAAUGUCAUCUACAAAAUAGCCUCCAAC
This is a long non-coding RNA of Oncorhynchus tshawytscha (Chinook salmon), 937 nucleotides long. The record is from Ensembl. Lineage: Eukaryota; Metazoa; Chordata; Actinopteri; Salmoniformes; Salmonidae.